Molecule: long non-coding RNA, 978 nt
Organism: Capsicum annuum
Lineage: Eukaryota; Viridiplantae; Streptophyta; Magnoliopsida; Solanales; Solanaceae
Exons: 2
Source: RefSeq, a predicted model, not a curated record
UUCAUGUCUCAAAACCUAUUUGCUGGAACUGGAAGGGACAAAAGGGGAAGAAAAGCAGAUUCCCACUUCAUAUGUAAUGUUUUUUUUUUUUUGUUUAAUUUGGUAUUUUAUUAAUAAUUAACAAAACAUAAUGGACCAACCUAUUAUACAAUUAAACAUUGUAAGCCUAUUUAUCUGAUCCGACCCAACCCGGAUCUAAUAACAAAACCAAAUAUAAUUAGUAGGUUUCCAAAAUAGAUAACUUUCCUAAUCUUUAUCUCUUUCACGCCGCCUUUCACCAUUUUCCUUCGUGGCUUCAAAAUUAGUUUCUUUCGAUUUUUACACUGGAGAAUCAAUCUUGUACCGCCUUCUUGUCAAAGCUUCACCUUCAGAUUCAGCUUCCAACAACUCUGAAAGACAUGUUGAUCAUCUUUGUUGGCUCUAUUCUGCUGAGUUAAGAUUCUACUUCCAAGAAUGACUCUUUUCAUUAACCUUUUGUUCCAUUUAAGACUUUUCGAUGCUUGUCUUAGUGCUUUCUGCUUGUGAUUCUCAGAUCUAGUUAAGAUGAAGAAAAGGGAUGCUUGGACCAGAAAAAAAUCUGAGGAACUGCUUUACAAUCAUGUUUAUAAAGCUGAAUCGGCCCCUAGAUCCUUCCCUAAAGCUGAUAAUCUAUUUUGAUGGCUGCAGUAGUUUAGGAUAGUUAAAACAUACUUGGUUUUUGUUGUGAUCUUGACUUGUGAAUAUGUAGUUUGUGCACUACAUAGCCUAACUUCCUUGUUUCCCUUUAUCCCUUUAGUGGUAUGAUUCUCAAAUAGGGGCACUGCCAUUUAUCACUAUUAAGAAUAGUUUUUUCUUUCUUGUGAAGUUGCUGAAAACUGGUGAUAGUAAUUGCUCCUGAAUCUAUUACUAGAUUAGCAAGAUAAUUAGAUAACUGUUUUUCUUCCCUGUAAAUAUGCUGAUAUACAACUUGCUUAUCUUACAAAUACUUCUUUAUCUCCU